GCAUGCGAAUCUCGAAAGCCUAUCUCAGUUCGGAUUGGAGGCUGAAACCCGCCUCCAUGAAGUUGGAUUCGCUAGUAAUCGCGCAUCAGCCAUGGCGCGGUGAAUACGUUCCCGGGCCUUGUACACACCGCCCGUCAAGCCAUGGGAGCCGGGGGUGCCUGAAGUUCGUUACCGCAAGGAUCGACCUAGGGCAAAACUGGUGACUGGGGCUAAGUCGUAACAAGGUAUC
RNAcentral lists this ribosomal RNA (229 nucleotides) under uncultured bacterium. Its description in RNAcentral is "partial 16S ribosomal RNA". It matches the Rfam family "Bacterial small subunit ribosomal RNA", at positions 1263 to 1500 of the family's 1533-position model. The record is from RNAcentral.